AUCCUCCAGAGUGGGACGCUUAUGAUCCGUCCACUGGGCGCUGGAUCCACGUGCCCAAGAUGCCACCGUCUGGAUCCUACUUCUGGGAUUCCCUCGCUGUAGGAACCGAGCUGCUGCUGUUUGGGGAGACAGGUGUUGCCUUGAGAUAUAGCAUCCUUACCAAUUCAUGGACAGGGCUGCCUGAUGCUGAUGCGAUCAACACCCCGCGCUACUUGUUUGGGGCAGCGAGUGGUGGUGAGAAGGCGUACGUCGCGGGAGGCCUUGAUUCUUCUCGUACUAAUGCAUUGAGCUCUGCAGAGAUGUAUGACUCGGAGACACAUACUUGGACACCCCUUCCCAGCAUGAAUAGGGCCAGGUACGGAUGCUCUGGCGCCUUCAUGGACGGCAAGUUCUAUGUGAUCGGUGGUGUUAGCAGUACCAGUAGCCGCGAGCCGUUGACUUGCGGUGAGGAGUAUGACUUGAACCUGCGGUCAUGGAGAGUCAUCGACAACAUGUCUCAGGGGCUCAACGAGACAGUCGAUGGAGCUCCUCCGCUCAUUGCGGUUGUGAACAACGAGCUUUAUGGUGCUGAUUACAGUGAGAAUAAUGAUUUGAAGCAGUAUGAUAAGCUGGACAACAAGUGGAUCACUCUUGGGAAAUUGCCUGUACAGUCGAAGAACAAAGAUGCCUUUGACAUGGGUUUCCGAGCGUGUGGUGACCGGCUGAUUGUUAUUGGGCGUCCAAACAAUUCUACUGAUGAAAAGGUGGUUGAGCUUCAUUCAUGGAUCCCGGAUGGGCAACCGCCUGUGUGGAAUUUCGUUGCCACAAGGCCAUACCGGGGCAACGGGAUUCUGUGCGCCGCGAUGGGUUGCUGAGUUGGUCAACUAAAUAAACCUUGGAUACACGCAAGAUAUGAGUAAGUUACUUACCAUGUACUGCUUGCUUUGUAUAAAAAAAUUAUUUAUCCUGUUUGCUCCAAGAUUAGAAUGACAUGGAGUUUCUCUUCAUAUUUCCAUGCAGUGCUGGCUGUGCCUCAUUCUGAAUUUCUGAAUUUCCUGGGAGCGCUCCGCUGAUGAUACAAAAAAGACAAGACAUGAAUGAGUUCCGGAGAAAGUGGCUUCAGAAACAUCAAGAGUUUUAGUCACUAGCUGUUAUUUCCAGUUGCAAUUUGUGUUCCAAUAAUGUUUUAACGCUUCCUACGGGCGUUUUGAUGAUCUUGAUCUCCAUCAUCCAACUUUAUCUUUACAGUACAACAGAACUCUCAGUUACUUUUCGAACAUCGAAUGCAGUCUCUAGCUUUCCCUCUAUUUUUGUUCAAGAUUUUUCGAACUCGGAAUAAAAAACAAUCUGGACUCUUCGUUAUUCAGUCAGCUGUUCUGAAAAUGUAUUUUAACUGCUACUGACAUACAUGUUUUUAACUGCUUAUUUUUACAGAUAAAUAAUGUUUACAGAUAAAUGGCAAACACUUAUUUCAUUGUGAAUAUAUCAUGAUUGUUUAUUACAAAAAGUACUUGCACAUUUUAACUGCUUAUUUAUACAAAAUUUAAAACUUUUUGAUAAAUUAAAAUUUUUAUACAUGAUGUUCCAAAAUAUAUGGUGAACAUAUUAAUACACUUGGGAUAUUUUACAAAUACACUAUGAUUAUUUAUGAAUUCAUGAUGAAUUUUACAAAUACACUAUGAUUAUUUAUGAAUUCAUGAUGAAUUUUAAAAUACAUGAAAUUUAUUUUUAAAAUACAAGAUGGACGUUUUUUAGUUACCAAUUGAUAUAUAUUUUUACAAAGCAUUUUUUAAAAAAAAAAUUAUUCAUGUUGAACAAUUAUUUUUACAAAAUGAAUAUUUAUUUAUUAUAAAUGAGGAGUUGUGAAUACACGAUGAUCAUUUUUUAUAAAUACACAAUGAAUUGUCUUUCAUGCAAGAUGAACAAUAUUUAAAUAAAACAUGAUUAUUGUUAACAUGAUACAGGUGCGCCUCGCCCGACUCUCUCACGCCACGCCUGCCAAGGACGAGAGCCACGUCGCCGCCGACCUCCGCGGCGGCCGCGCUCGCCAAGAUGCCCGCCGUGUACGGGCCCUCCACGCCAACGUCCUGCUGGCCGAUCUCAACGCUCCCGUCAGGCUGCGUCACAUGCAUUGUUGCUCCCGUCAGGCUGCUGAAACCUGCGAGAUGAAGGAGGCUUUGAUGGCCCCGUCCACAUAUUAUUCACACCUACUUGUUAUGUUUUUUAUUUAACCCUUGUCAGAGGCCUUGAUUACUACUCGUCCGUUUAAGUUUUUUUAAAAGUUUCACUAACGUGCUACAUACAGAUGACAUACUUUAGAACGUAGAUUCACUCAUUUUGCUCUGUAUGUAUUAGUAAAAUUUAUAAAAAAGACUUAUAUUUAGGAACAGAUGGAGUAUACUGGUCUGAGUGUGAUAUAGUAUGAAGCUGUGUUCUUCAAGGGUGCCUGCCACACAGGUUGGAGUUUCUUAUUAUUCACAUAUUUCCGCGUUAGCUUUUCUAUAGUAUUUACUACUCACAUUGAUGUAUCUCAUAGUUUUAAAUAGCCGGCUAUAGCCUUUUCAGCAGGCUUCCGCUAAAUGAUAUCAUGUACAAAUAAGCCGCCUAUAGCUCGCUAUAGCUGAUUUAGAGGCCCUCCGCUAUUUAUAACAUAGAUUUAUCCUGAAAUCUAACCUUUUCUUUAUCAUCUCAAACCGUACCCCAAAUCAUCUUUCUAAUCUCCAACACAGGUAAGAGACACUUUCAUUACAUUCAUCUUGUGCUAACUCAUUUUUUUUUGCUACAGGUCGGGUCCAUUGUGACCAAUGUUUUAAAACGCGGGCUAUGACAUUUAGCGGCGGCUCGGCCAGAAGCUAUGAAAGGCUAUAGCGGAGCUAUGCCUCAUUUAGCGUUUCUCUUAAAUCAUGAAAUAUUAAAACAAUAAGUAUAUAAUCAGGCAUCAUAUAUGAUAUAUUGCAUAUACUUUACAUAUACACAUGUUCGUACAUCAAAACGCGAGUACUAAUCAGACAUCCUGAUUCAGUAACCAAGUUUGACAUCCAUGCAUCAUACAUAUCCUAAACAAGAACAAAAAAUAAUUCAGAAGUAUGGUUUUGUAUAGUGGCUUAACGGGCUAAAUGACUCCAAAUUUAAUGCUAUACCGGGAAAUAGCGGGCUAUUAGCGUCAUUUUCAAUUUAGCCCUAAAAAUGCAUAGCUUUAGCGGGAGAGCUCCCAAAGGCUAUAUCUAAUAUGAUUGAUUGUGACUGGUGGCCAUUACAUCGACAACCUUGUGGGUAGCAUCGUUGCUGGCAAGAAAAGUCCCUGCUGUUGGCGUCAGCCUUGGAAUCGAAGGAGUCUUCACGGUCAUGCAGGAGAAAAAGAAGAAUCAGGUACUAACUAAAUUCCUUCAGAGAAGAUGUACAAAUACUGAGACAGAUAUAUACUUACAAUGCUGGUCUUUAAUAUUUAUUUCACGGUUAUUUUCUCCAAGUAGGAGGAAUUUUUAGUUUUUUUAAUUUGGUAGUUAAUUGACAAACACUAACUACAAAGCAACAUUUAAUCUUUUACUUUAUGACCAAUCAAAAUGUUACUCCAUGUCUUUGUGCAAUUUGUUCUCUCUCCUGUCUCUCAUGUUUCAAUGUGUUGGUGGAUAUAUUUUUUUCAUCUAUCUUUGUAUCCAGAUGUUUCAAUGGAAGGCACACGUGGAGAGGUGGAGGCCCCCUUCAGUGUUUCACUGGGCGCCAUUGGACCCAUUCUUAACAAGCUCGACAUGAUGCUAGGUCCUCAAGGAUGCAAGCUGCCCAAGGGGCUCCAUGACAGAUUUCACCUGCUAAAAGAUAAUGUUGAAGAAAUAAGUGCAUACCUUGAAGAUCUGUUAGAGGUGGAGGACCCUCCCAUGGCGGUGAAGUGUUGGAUGAAAGAGGCACAAGAGUUAUCCUAUGACAUCCUUGAUUAUAUUGACAGCCGUGUAUCCCUUGAGCUUCUGGAAUGCAGAUCUGUCCGCAAGAUGGGUCUUAUUAAGAUUGCCAAGAAGCUCAAGUGGCAGAAACAAAUUGAGUAUGCAACUCCUCAUGUGCCAGAACAUGUUAUCCCCAAAACCAUUUGUGUUGAUGUCAUUCGUGCUCCCAGGAGGCUCAAGUGGUACCAGCAGAUGAUUGAAAAGGUAUCAGAAUUCAGGAUCUAUGCCCUGGAGGCUAUUCAACGGUAUGAGAGGUACCAAGUCCUUUGUUGUAGUACCUCGACGGCAUGUAGAUUUUCUGCCAUUGGGCCUUUAAUGCCAAUGCCUCCACCGCCUUGUGAGAAAACUUGUUCUGGCCUAGUAAUUGAUGGUCGGAUGAGCAAGCUUAUCAACUCACAGCUGGCUAAUGAUGAGAAUGAGCAGCUCAAGGUGGUGUCUAUUCAUGGAUCUGGAUGUCUUGGUAAAACAAUGCUUGCCAAAGUGUUGUAUAAUAAAAUUGGGAGAAAAUUCGAUUGCCGAGCUUUCAUCCAGGUGUCCAAAAAGCCUGAUAUAAAGAAGCUUUUGAAUGACAUGCUAUCACAAAUCCAUAGGAAGCAGCCCCAAGCAAGCCAAAAGGCUUCUGAUGAACUUCGCAUAACUGCUGACAAUAUCAGGAAUUAUCUACAUGGGAAGAGGUACUUAUUUUCCUCAUGAAAAUAGUAUGUACUAGUUGUAUCCAUGAAUGUCCAGAAUCACAAGUAUUACGUAAAUUCCUUAUAGGUUCCUACUUUGUUUUUCACAAAAAAUAAGGCAUGAUGAUGUUAUUCAGACAAGCUUUACAGUGAGCUAGAAAAGAAUUUACUUAUUUUCCACAUGGUCUAGAAUCGCAUGUACUACAUUAAAUCGCUACAGGUUGAUCUGUUGUUUUUUUCAAAAAAAAAAAAAGGCAUGAUGAUAUAUAGUCAAUUUCUGAAAAGAUGUUUUUCAGACAAGCUUUACAGUGAGCUAGCAAAUGAUGCUGGCAGUAACAUUUAAUUUCAGGCUGGUACCAUAAAUCCAUGCAUUUUUUGGUACCAUAUAAAUCCGUGCAUGGACUAAAUACUCAUUCUUUUCUAGCUUAUCUCAGUGCUGUUGCCAUUUGCCUGGCACAUAGAUGUGACAUGUGUGGACUUUCUUGGCGUGCAGGUAUCUAAUUAUUGUUGAUGAUUUAUGGGAUACAUCGGCAUGGGACGUUAUUAAUCAGGUUUUCCCCAAGGGUAGUCAAGGUAGCAGAAUAAUAACAACUACACAGAUUGAAGAUGUUGCAUUAGCAUGUAGCUGCGAUCACCCAGAACAAGUUUUUGAGAUGAAACCUUUGGAUGAUGGUCACUCAAGGAAGCUAUUCUUUGGCAGGAUUUUUGGCUCUGAAAGUGACUGUCCUGAAGAAUUCAAACUAAUUUCGAGCCAACUUGUAGAAAUAUGUGCUGGAUUGCCACUAGCGACCAUCAGCAUAGCAAGUCUUUUAGCAAACCAGCCUUCUGUAUCAGUGGAUUUAUUGACACACAUACAUGAUUCAUUAGUGUCUUGUUUGUCAUCAAAUUCAACUUCAGAAAGAACGAGACAUGUACUGAACCUCAGCUACAACAACCUUCCUCAUUACCUCAAGACAUGCUUGCUCUAUUUUAGUAUGUAUCCAGUGGGAUCCAUAAUCUUCAAACUUGACCUGGCCAGGCAAUGGGUGGCCGAAGGGUUUAUUGCUGCAAGUGAAGGGCAAGACACAGAGGAAGUUGCAGGAAUGUAUUUCGAUGAACUUGUUGAUAGAAGAUUCAGCCAACCUGUGUCUAUCAACUUCAACAAUGAGGUGGUGUCCUGCACAGUUCAUGCCGUGGUGCAUGAUCUUAUUGUACACAAGUCUGCUGAAAAGAAUUUCCUUGUGGUAGUAGAUUGCAAUCGAAAAAAUUUGACGCUUUCUCAUAAGGUCCGUCGACUAUCUCUGCAACUUGGUGAUGCAAAAUGUGCCAAGAUACCAGCAAACAUCAGAAAGUCACAAGUACGGUCACUUGGAUUUUUUGGAUUGGCAGAGUGCAUGCCUUGUAUUGGAGAGUUCAAGCUUGUUCGUGUUCUCAACCUUCAGCUAUCCGGUCUUCGUCAUGGUAACAAAGACCUGUCCAUAGACCUCUCUAGAGUAUCAGAACUGUUCCAUCUGAGAUAUCUGAAGAUUGCUUGUGAUGUCUGCAUAAAACUUCCGAAGCGGAUGAGAGGGCUGCAGUGUUUGGAAACACUGGAUGUUAUGGAUACACCAAGAGGCACUUAUGUUCCAUGGGACAUUAUAUAUCUCCCACGCUUGUUGCACCUCAGUCUUCCUCCUNUCGAGGUGAAAUUAGUGGAUUCCGGUUCCCAUGGCGAUAAAAGGUAGUACUUUUGUUGCUGUUGAGUUAUUCAAUUAAACCUUAUUUGAGUAUUCAUGCUCUAAAUGGUUGUUGUAACCUGCAGGAUAUCACCAGAGUCCUCUUCGCGCCUGAAUCCUGCAGGUAUGCUUUUCAGUUGUAAUUGAGACGUUUCGUCAUGAGGUGAUAAAUUACUCGUAGAAAUUAGUAAGACAUGGAUGAAGUGUUGGCUUUUGGCAGGUGUAGAGGAGGGUGGAAAGGAGCAGGCUGUGGUCUCGUGGAGCAAUACCAUUGAUGUGAUAGGUCGGGAACUCUUCUUCCGUUGCCUGCACCUUGUGCCCAGGCGGGACUACGGCACCAUCGCCUCCCUCAACCGUGAAUUCAAUUCGGUGGUUCGCGACGGGGACAUCUACCGCCUGCGUCGCAAGAAUGGGGUGGCGGAGCACUGGCUCUACCUCUCUUGCGGUAACGAUUUUCUGGAUUGGGACGCUUAUGACCCGUCCACUGGGCGCUGGAUCCAAGUGCCCAAGAUGCCACCGGCUGGAAGCUCCUUCUGGGACGCGCUCGCUGUCGGAACCGAGCUGCUGGUGUUUGGGGCCUGCGGAGGGGCUACCUUGAGAUAUAGCAUCCUUACCAAUUCAUGGACAGGGCUGGCUGACGCUGAUGCGAUCAACACCCCGCGGUACCAAUUUGGGUCAGCGAGUGUCGGUGAAAAGGCGUAUGUCGCAGGAGGCUUUGAUUCUUCUUUUAUUAAUGUAUUGAGCUCGGCAGAGAUGUAUGACUCGGAGACAUACACCCCUUCCCAGCAUGCAUAGGGCCAGGUACAGAUGCUCUGGCGCCUUCAUGGACGGC
This 7114-nucleotide long non-coding RNA is filed under the name Hordeum vulgare. Its description in RNAcentral is "long non-coding RNA (HVUL_LNC017179)". The record is from RNAcentral. Lineage: Eukaryota; Viridiplantae; Streptophyta; Magnoliopsida; Poales; Poaceae.